AUUGAACGCUGGCGGCAUGCUUUACACAUGCAAGUCGAACGGCAGCGCGGGCUUCGGCCUGGCGGCGAGUGGCGAACGGGUGAGUAAUACAUCGGAACGUGCCCAGUAGUGGGGGAUAGCUCGGCGAAAGCCGGAUUAAUACCGCAUACGACCUGAGGGUGAAAGCGGGGGAUCUUCGGACCUCGCGCUAUUGGAGCGGCCGAUGGCAGAUUAGCUAGUUGGUGGGGUAAAGGCCUACCAAGGCGACGAUCUGUAGCUGGUCUGAGAGGACGACCAGCCACACUGGGACUGAGACCCGGCCCAGACUCCUACGGGAGGCAGCAGUGGGGAAUUUUGGACAAUGGGCGAAAGCCUGAUCCAGCAAUGCCGCGUGUGUGAUGAAGGCCUUCGGGUUGUAAAGCACUUUUGGCGGGAACGAAAAGGACUGUGCCAAUACCACGGUUCGAUGACGGUACCCGCAGAAUAAGCACCGGCGAACUACG
This 482-nucleotide ribosomal RNA is filed under the name uncultured bacterium. RNAcentral describes it as "partial 16S ribosomal RNA". It matches the Rfam family "Bacterial small subunit ribosomal RNA", at positions 29 to 505 of the family's 1533-position model. The record is from RNAcentral.